Molecule: ribosomal RNA, 251 nt
Filed under: uncultured bacterium
Lineage: Bacteria
Also listed under: 1 other name
Description: partial 16S ribosomal RNA
Rfam family: Bacterial small subunit ribosomal RNA
Source: RNAcentral
ACGAAGGGUGCAAGCGUUAAUCGGAAUUACUGGGCGUAAAGGGUGCGUAGGCGGUUCGUUAAGUCUGUCGUGAAAUCCCCGGGCUCAACCUGGGAAUGGCGAUGGAUACUGGCGAGCUAGAGUGUGUCAGAGGAUGGUGGAAUUCCCGGUGUAGCGGUGAAAUGCGUAGAGAUCGGGAGGAACAUCAGUGGCGAAGGCGGCCAUCUGGGACAACACUGACGCUGAAGCACGAAAGCGUGGGGAGCAAACAG